GGCACUGCUAUCAUGGGGCACUGGUAACAAAUAAAUAUCACUUUGGAGGCCAUGUGCAGAUCAGAUUUGGAAGUGACCAAGACUGGAGGCAGGGACACCAGAGUUUUCUGUUAAAAACUGGUCCAUGCAAGAAAAGAUGACUCCUGAAAUAAGACAGUGAUCAUUAGGAUGAAGAGGAAGAGAAGAUUUGAGGAAUACUUAGAACAGAAUUUACUGAAUUUACUGGUUGAAUUGAAUGUGAAGAGGAGAUGAAUAAAGAAGAAAACACCCUCAAAGGAACAAAUAUGAAACAAUCUCUGGAAAAUGGAAUUUGAUUUUGAUUCAACAACAGGAGAAUUCUACUGUUUUUCUCCAGCAGCUCCACGAUAAAAGGGAACCCUGAGCAGAACACAUGCACAAACUCAUGCCAUACCCUAAGGGACAAGGUUCCCCACAUCUACUUGGAAAUCUUUGGGAUGCUCAAUGAUUAGCUCUUUGGAACUGAGAGAUGAGAUGAGGCCUGGAAAACUUCCCCCAGUACAGUCAAGUUCCUGUUGACUAAUUCUGUGACCACCAGUGACAGUCUUUGAGUCCGUGAGGCAGAGUUGCGGCAGCACAGGCUUUGCUUGGAGUUGGAUGGUUCGCACCCUGCUUGGCAUGGUUUCUAAGAGACAUCCUCUGAGUGGAUGAGGGGAGAAUCCAGCAGGCCUCUAGUCACACUGGAGAAAAACAAGGAGAGAAAAAUCUAAACCCAGCAGAAGAGAAAGUUUAAGAAAGCGGUCGUCGCCAAUACCAAAAUUAGCUAUGAUAUUCAGGAAGAAAAAAAUGGAAACACGAUAACCACAGUCAAUAAAGACCAAGGCCACAUUCCAUUGACCAGAGCUCAGCCACGCGCCACACCUGGCUAAAGAGACUCUGGCUGAAGAAUUCCCUGAAUAUUUUAAUGUAGCUCUAGGUUAUAACACAGAACAACCACAAGGUGGCAGAAGAACUCCAUUCUUGUAAAUCUCUUAGUUGCUUCUUUAUUUCAUCUUCCCUAUUCCAUCUAAUGUUCCCUGAAUUUUACUAUUUUGUUGGUUUGAAAAUAUGUGUGACUUACGUCCUUUAAAGGAUUUGGUUCGUAAGGUUUUGAAUAGACUGGAAUAUAAAACAUUUAUAGAAAAGAAAAAUACCUACAGUAUGAUGUUAGUGAACUAUUAAUAAUCCAAUUAAAUAAAAUAUAUUUGCUUUGGAUUAAUA
Molecule: long non-coding RNA, 1218 nt
Filed under: Homo sapiens (human)
Lineage: Eukaryota; Metazoa; Chordata; Mammalia; Primates; Hominidae
Description: long intergenic non-protein coding RNA 158
Source: RNAcentral